AACCUGCCGUAUGCAGGGGGACAACAGUCAGAAAUGACUGCUAAUACCGCAUAAGCACACAAUGCUGCAUGGCAUGGUGUGAAAAGAUUUAUCGGCAUACGAUGGCCCCGCGUCUGAUUAGCCAGUUGGCAGGGUAAUGGCCUACCAAAGCAACGAUCAGUAGCCGGCUUGAGAGAGUGACCGGCCACAUUGGGACUGAGACACGGCCCAGACUCCUACGGGAGGCAGCAG
RNAcentral lists this ribosomal RNA (231 nucleotides) under uncultured bacterium. RNAcentral's name for it is "partial 16S ribosomal RNA". It matches the Rfam family "Bacterial small subunit ribosomal RNA", at positions 123 to 354 of the family's 1533-position model. The record is from RNAcentral.